This 561-nucleotide ribosomal RNA is filed under the name Hyaloscypha sp. A TL-2012. Its description in RNAcentral is "SSU rRNA". It matches the Rfam family "Bacterial small subunit ribosomal RNA", at positions 421 to 1105 of the family's 1533-position model. Lineage: Eukaryota; Fungi; Ascomycota; Leotiomycetes; Helotiales; Hyaloscyphaceae. The record is from RNAcentral.
UCGAGUAAAGUUCUAGAGAAGAAAAAAAUUGAUGAUGACAAACUUCUUUUCUAUAUGUCUUGACCAAAUUACGUGCCAGCAGUCGCGGUAAUACGUAAAAGACUAGUGUUAUUCAUCUUUAGUAGGUUUAAAGGGUACCUAGACGGUAUAAUUAGUCUUAAACAAGAAACGGUUAUGCUAGAGUUAUAUAUGAGAAGGGGAGUAUUUAUGGAGUAGAGUUGAAAUUCUUUGAUCCCAUAACGACUGGUAACGGCGAAAGCAACCUUUUAUCUAAUAACUGACGUUGAGGGACGAAGGCUCGGGUCACGAACAGGAUUAGAUACCCUAGUAGUCCAAGCAGAGAAUGAUGAAUGCCAUAUAUAAAUGAAAGUGUAAGCAUUUCACCUCAAGAGUAAUGUGGCAACGCAGGAACUGAAAUCAUUAGACCGUUUCUGAAACCAGUAGUGAAGUAUGUUAUUUAAUUCGUAAGUACGCGAAAAACCUUACCACACAAGCGUUGCACGGCUGUCUUCAGUUAAUGUCGUGAGAUAUUGGUUAAUUCCAUUAAAUUAACNNAAACCC